This 5418-nucleotide long non-coding RNA is filed under the name Macaca mulatta (Rhesus monkey). RNAcentral's name for it is "lncRNA (ENSMMUG00000054900.1)". The record is from RNAcentral. Lineage: Eukaryota; Metazoa; Chordata; Mammalia; Primates; Cercopithecidae.
CUGCGCAUGCGAGGGAUCUGGGUUGCGGGCUCCUCAUGAGACUCUAAUACCUGCUGAUCUGUCACUGUCUCCCAUCACCCUCACAUGGGACUGUCUAGCUGCAGGAAAACAAGCUCAGGGCUCCCACUGAUCCUACAUUAUGGUGAGUUGUAUAAUUAUUUCAUUAUAUAUUGCAAUGUAGUAAUAACAGAAAUGCAGUGCCCAAUAAACGUCGUGUGCCUGGGUCAUCCUGAAACCACCUUUUCCUCCCCUGCCUCAUUCAUGGAAAAAUUGUCGCCCAUGAAACCCUUCUCUGGUGCCAAAAAGGUUGCAGACCACUGCCUUACAGAAUGUGGGCAGCCUAAAAACUAAGCUGGUGAGACUGAGACUAAAGGUAUCCCCAGAUUUGGGUUGUUACUAACCCAUCAGGGACUCUCUCAGACACCCUCAGCAGGAAUGGAGAGUGAGGUGGCCCAGGUGCUUAGAGACACAGAAAGGGAGCCAGAGAAGCCAUUAGGAAACAGAGACGUGGCACAGGGAAGAAGAGUAGAGAAACCUGAGUCAUGCGGUAGCAGCUUGAAGACAGGGCGAUGAGUAAGGUGCAGGCAUUUGCAGAGAGGGGGCAGUAAUAGAGGUCACGAGGCUGGAAAAGCGUCUGGUGGGCAGAAACCAGGAGGCAGAUGGGAGAAAAAGAAACAGCCAUGGGAGAAGCAGGGUGAGAGCGACCUGAAAAGUCUGUCUGCAGCGUGGACAGUUCCAGGGUUGCUUUUGGUCCCUGCAGCUGCAGUGGCCUCCAGAUCAUCCAUGGGCAGCCGCUGCCCACCAUCUCAGCAUGGUUUGGCAGGUGCAUUUUAAAGUGAGUUCCUGGCAUCUUAUAGAGAUAAAUAGGGCAAAAAGUAAUAAUAAUAAUCAGACAUAGCCUUUACCCUCAGGGAGUUUAGUCUCCGGUUCUCAUAAAAGCUGAGCUACUACAGUGCACACAAAAAUCAGAGUCCGGUGGCUAAACUCAUGUGUUUUAUAAUUGAGCAGAAAUGGACUUAAUUCCCAGCUCUGCCAUUUGCUAACUAUGUGAUCUUGAAAGCAUUUCCUGGUCUCUCUAAGGCUCCACUUCCUCAUCUGUAAAAAGGUCACAAGAACAGCACCUGCACAACCAGGGCACUGGAAGAAUUGAGGGAGGCAGAGCCUGCAGGGCUGGGCACGCACCUGGCAUGUGAGGCUUCCGCGGACGGCAGCCUUUAUUACCCAAGCUCAUUAGACCAACAGGCAUUUCCUCCAUUCACCUGCAUUACUAUUGUGUGAAUUCUGAUUCCUCAGGUGCUGCUGUCAUGCAGGAAUUUGGCUCCUGAAGCAGGAGAGGGAGAGGAGACCAGGGAAAUGGGGACAGCUACUCCCGGAAGUUAUCACAGGGGAGAAGGGCUUAGAGCGCAACUUAAUAAAAAGAGCAUCGCAUCAAUGCUUCCUGGGGCCCACUGGCACCCCCUGGAAGCUGCACAUUCCCUCCCCAGCCAGGCCUCUGCUAGCAGCCUCUCUGUGCUAGAGGGAACCUAGGGACAGGGACAGCUCCAGCUGCAGGCAAGUUCCUAGAAAGUCCAGUGGAAUGGAUGUCAUUCCUCUACUGUGAGUAAUCGGCCCAAACAAAGCCCACUGGUAUUUCCGAGUCCAUUCCCAGUGCCCAGAGCUGGACCCAGUAGCUCAGCAGCUGCGAGGAGUGGAAUGCAGAUCUCGAGCUCGCUGCCCUAGAUUCAGCCUUGGGAAAAGACUCGUGGCCCCAAGCAGGGAAGGCACUCUCAAGGUCAUCUCGUCCAUGCUCCCGCCUCUGGGCCCAGACAUUGUAAGACGCGGGGCCUGGGGACCCACGGUAGCCCAAGCGUGGGGACCAGGGAGUCUGCGGGAGGAUUCUGAGGAUAUAAAGUGGAGCCAGGAAAAGGAUGUUCCUUUCUCUGUCACCUCCUCGAGCUUCCAUUCGAAGGAGUUGCAGGAGAGGGGAAAGAAGUCAGGAAAGGAAAAGCUGAGCCUCCGAGGUGUCUCUGCCCCGACUUCUCUCCUGCUCCUCCUCUGGUCUCGGGGCAGGCCAGCCCUGUCUGCCUCCUAUCGCUUUCCUCGCUUCUGGGCCACCAGUCUGUCGCAUCCACCAUUUCUGGAAGUUCAGGGAUAAAGCUAUCCUUAUUCUUUCGGAAUAGCGGCAGCUGCUCUGUCAGUUCGGGGUGGCAGGGGUUUCCCUAACUGGGUUGCCGAUGAGCCCAGGUCCCUCACACUGGGGAGGCAGGUCUUUGGCCUUAGCUCACUGGGUCACCCCAGCAGUUGUUCCAGGGAGGUCUUAUCGCCACCUCUUGACAGACGAGGAAGCAGGAGCACAGCAACAUGAAAGGACUUGCUCGAGACCCCUCGCCGGUCCUUCCACUGACGGGACACACCCGCGUCUCAAGGCUGAUUUUCAAGGAACAGAAACUUCCACUGCUGCCUGUGCCUCGCCUGGCUCCCACCCAAUAUGAAAGAGUGGCACACUGAUAGGUCACACGCCCCAGUUAAUUGCUCCCUAGCUCCCACGGGAAAAGCCAUAACGUGUCCUUUCCAAAAUGGUGACUGUCAUUUCCCCCAGCCUAAUUUAAGGCUGGCAUUAACAUUCCCCAGAGUUAACCUGGGCUGUGCUCCUGUGCAGUUGCUGUGCAGAAAUGUUUCCUCCGUGUGCAUUGCCUGCCUGUCAUUUCUUAGCUUUUGCAGAGUGUAAGCUGUGGUCCUGGGGGAACAGGGCAGUAGGUAGGGUUGGGGGUCCAAGGGUCAGUGGCCCUCAAACCUGGUACCCUGUAAACACCUUGGUCAUUUUGAAUUUACCAGCUCAGGAAAGAAGAUUCCUUGCAAGCGCACAGUUGCCUGUGGUCAGAGGGAUGAUCUCAAAGUGCUCGUACUUCCUGGGCCAGCAGCCAGCUGCCUUGGAUGGUCAGAAGGUGAAAUUUGAAUGCUGGUGAAUGGGAGAGCGGAAGUUCAGCAAGGCUGAGUUAAGCCCAUUCAUGAAAAAGAUCUGGUCUCACUUCCUUAUUGCCAGGAGUCGUGUGUGAAGUGUGCGCGCGCGUGUGUGUGCGCGCGCAUGCAUGUGAGCUUGAUUACUUUCUGCCUCACUUCUUCCUCCACCUCUACUCUUUUCUUUUUUUUCCUCUCUCUCUGAAAAUCUUAAGUUCAUCCUCAGGAAACUGCCCAAGAAUGUGUAUCUGGUCUGUGGUUUGCUGAAAAAAAGAAAGAAAGAUUCAUACAAAAGCAAUUAUCUCUCUCUUUCACCCUGUCUCUCUCUGUCUGUCUCUCCCUCUCUCUCUCUCUCUCUGUGUGUCUCCCUCUCUCCCUCUCUCUCCCUCUCUCUCUCUCUCUCACACACACACACACACACACAAAUACACACACACGCAGUUUCCAGGCUGUGCUGCAUGCGCCUCCCUGGCUGUUCUCCCAUCCAGUCGUGUCUGGCUUAGGGAGGUGAAGUCAUCUCUGGGUGGGAGAUAUCCCGGUCAAAGGUGCGGUGGGAAGGCCAUCAAGAUUGACCCACAGGGAAAAAAUUCAAGGUUAUCCAGCUAGCUCCCACCUCAGUGGAUCACAUGGUGCCUCUGGCAGGCUGUGCCUCUGGCUAGUGGCGUGAUUCCCAGCCGACUAGAAGCCUGCUGUGUGGCAGGUACCUCCCCUGUUAUCUGUGAGAUGGAGGUGAUCAUGAUAGUGGGCUCCUCGUGGGUUAUUGCAGUGAUGAAGGUGACACACACAAGGUGCUCAGCACAGCGUGUAGUCAUAGGUGAUCUUGCUGAAUGCCUCCAGGGCAGGGGAAUCACCAGCUCCAGGGCAGCCUGUCCCAUUUUCAGCAACACAGCAAAGAAGUCACCAACCCUGCUGGGGUUUUCAAGUCUUGGGAGGAAUCGAGGCACUUCCUUUUCCUUUAGAAACAGAAACCAAGAUGCUGACCAAGACAAAGUAUGCACCCAGUGCAGUUUGACCUACCCAGAUUCACAGGGGCCUCGCGGAUAUGUGCCUCAGAAAGAAGACGCACCUCAGGGAAGGAUAUGACACCAGAGCCCUCGAAAUGAUUGACUGGAGCAGACAUGGAAACAGAGAUCCUGGUGGUGGAGUUUGAAGCUGCUGGAAUUCUCCAAGCUGCUCUCCCUGCCUUUUAGGCUGUUUCUCCAAGUGGUGCCGGUGACACAAAGAGCUGUUCUUAUCCUCUCUCGUCCUGAGUUAUUAUCCAAUGGAGUCGAAGCACAGAGAGGUUAGUAAAUUGGCCAAGUUCGUACAACUCUUGAGUGGCAGAGCUCGGAUUCAAACCUUGUCAAAUUCCGAAGUUCAGGCUCUCAGCAUCGACAACAAACUGUCUCUCUGAUGACUCCUCAAUCCUUUGUCUCCCAGUUAGGCACACCAGGAUUUAAUCACCAUCUCAAAAAGACUGGUCUCAUUCAGCUGUCCUCUUCUUCCUUCCUUCAUUCACUUCAAUCACGCAUUCGUAUACCAAGUAAAAGACUUACUGUCUACCAUGUGUGUGCUAAACACUGAGAAAGAACAAAAUAUUUUCAACUCCAUUCCUCUACUAGAGAUGUGAUCGUUUGGGAAGCAUGAUCGAUAGCACAGCAGAGAGUAAAUAUUCCCAGACCUGAGAGCAAGAGGGAUCACCUCAUUAGCUCUGACCUCUUCUCGCCUCCCUGCCUCCCGGUUCGCUCUGUGGCUUUGAAAGAUGAAUACCCGAUAUUUGGAAAUGAAGGGAAUAAAACUGCUCUUGGAAACCAUGAAAUGAACACACAAUGCAUCAGAGCCAAACUUGCAAUCACUCAAGAAAGAAUGAUUCUCAAGGCAUCGAGCCCCCCGGAAGUUAAUUGAAAGGCUGUCUACAGAAAAGAUGGUCAGUCCUUAGGGAGAGGCAGGUCAGUAAUGACAACACCGAAAAGGAAAGUCCUCGAGAAAACCCAGAGCCCUGACCUGGAGGAAGAGGACAUUGGCCCUAAAGGUGCCUGUGUCUUUUUUGUGGAGAUGGGCACUCAGGUUAUCAUCACCUGAUACGACUAUGCAUUUUAAUUUUCCAACUAACCUCAGUGUUUUCACUCUGUACUCAGCGAGCAGCCAUGUGACUGUAACCUGGCUUCCCAAGUACUUGGUCCUCAAGGAGAGAAUGGGUGUUAGCCCCUCGGCAGUUCCAUUCCGAUGUCCACGGCUGGCUGGUAGGGUGAGUCAGCAUCCCCCACAGCAGUCCCGUCCGCCCUGGGCCACUGCUAGGACCCAGCAUUUGAACAGUAGGACAGAGGGCUACAGGCUGGCCCAAGUCACACUGCGAUGAGCUGGUCUUCCUAGGAAGCUCCCAGCCUUUCCGUUCUAUGGCGCUGUCAGACUGUACCUCUCUAUUUCAAAACCCAUCAGAAUACAUCAAAGCCCUGCCUGUUAGGUAAGUAUUAUUAUGCUCAAUUUUAUAAGCAAGGAUAU